RNAcentral lists this long non-coding RNA (201 nucleotides) under Mytilus galloprovincialis (Mediterranean mussel). Lineage: Eukaryota; Metazoa; Mollusca; Bivalvia; Mytilida; Mytilidae. The record is from RNAcentral.
UGGGGACGAAGUUUGUUUAAAUUAAUUUUUUUGUAACUUAAAUAUUUGUUAAAAUAAGAAACGGAAAUACCGUAACGUUUCCGAUUUUGGUUCUGUUGUUAGGGAUUUUACUUGUGACGUUAUCUAAGUUAUGACGUCAUGCUCAAUGUAAACAAAGAAACGCAAUGCAUCAGGUAACGUUUAUUCAUACCAAAGACAAAG